This 930-nucleotide ribosomal RNA is filed under the name Klebsiella pneumoniae. Its description in RNAcentral is "bacterial SSU rRNA". It matches the Rfam family "Bacterial small subunit ribosomal RNA", at positions 559 to 1488 of the family's 1533-position model. The record is from RNAcentral. Lineage: Bacteria; Pseudomonadati; Pseudomonadota; Gammaproteobacteria; Enterobacterales; Enterobacteriaceae.
CGUAAGCGCACGCAGGCGGUCUGUCAAGUCGGAUGUGAAAUCCCCGGGCUCAACCUGGGAACUGCAUUCGAAACUGGCAGGCUAGAGUCUUGUAGAGGGGGGUAGAAUUCCAGGUGUAGCGGUGAAAUGCGUAGAGAUCUGGAGGAAUACCGGUGGCGAAGGCGGCCCCCUGGACAAAGACUGACGCUCAGGUGCGAAAGCGUGGGGAGCAAACAGGAUUAGAUACCCUGGUAGUCCACGCUGUAAACGAUGUCGAUUUGGAGGUUGUGCCCUUGAGGCGUGGCUUCCGGAGCUAACGCGUUAAAUCGACCGCCUGGGGAGUACGGCCGCAAGGUUAAAACUCAAAUGAAUUGACGGGGGCCCGCACAAGCGGUGGAGCAUGUGGUUUAAUUCGAUGCAACGCGAAGAACCUUACCUGGUCUUGACAUCCACAGAACUUUCCAGAGAUGGAUUGGUGCCUUCGGGAACUGUGAGACAGGUGCUGCAUGGCUGUCGUCAGCUCGUGUUGUGAAAUGUUGGGUUAAGUCCCGCAACGAGCGCAACCCUUAUCCUUUGUUGCCAGCGGUCCGGCCGGGAACUCAAAGGAGACUGCCAGUGAUAAACUGGAGGAAGGUGGGGAUGACGUCAAGUCAUCAUGGCCCUUACGACCAGGGCUACACACGUGCUACAAUGGCAUAUACAAAGAGAAGCGACCUCGCGAGAGCAAGCGGACCUCAUAAAGUAUGUCGUAGUCCGGAUUGGAGUCUGCAACUCGACUCCAUGAAGUCGGAAUCGCUAGUAAUCGUAGAUCAGAAUGCUACGGUGAAUACGUUCCCGGGCCUUGUACACACCGCCCGUCACACCAUGGGGAGUGGGUUGCAAAAGAAGUAGGUAGCUUAACCUUCGGGAGGGCGCUUACCACUUUGUGAUUCAUGACUGGGUGAGACAACG